This is a non-coding RNA of Pangasianodon gigas (Mekong giant catfish), 72 nucleotides long. The record is from the annotation of a GenBank genome assembly. Lineage: Eukaryota; Metazoa; Chordata; Actinopteri; Siluriformes; Pangasiidae.
AAAACUGAAUAAAACUUUUGAUAACUUCCAAGUUUUGACAUUUUGUACUGGGGCUAAUGUGGUAGACUUGAG